UAAGAAGUUUUGGAGCACAAAGGACGCAGGCCAGGAGCCAUUCAGUUUCAAUAUAGGCCAGGGUUCGGUGAUCAAAGGAUGGGACGAGGGAGUUAUGACCAUGCAAGUGGGUGAAGUUGCUCGUAUUCAGUGCACCCCGGAUUAUGCGUAUGGAGCUAGUGGGUUUCCGGCCUGGGGAAUUCGACCAAACUCAGUGCUGGUGUUCGAGAUUGAGGUUCUUAGCGCCCAGUAAACG
RNAcentral lists this unclassified non-coding RNA (235 nucleotides) under Hevea brasiliensis (rubber tree). Lineage: Eukaryota; Viridiplantae; Streptophyta; Magnoliopsida; Malpighiales; Euphorbiaceae. The record is from RNAcentral.